CAGUCGCCACGGGAAUACGUAGGUGGCAAGCGUUGUCCGGAAUUAUUGGGCGUAAAGGGCUCGCAGGCGGUUUCUUAAGUCUGAUGUGAAAGCCCCCGGCUCAACCGGGGAGGGUCAUUGGAAACUGGGAAACUUGAGUGCAGAAGAGGAGAGUGGAAUUCCACGCGUAGCGGUGAAAUGCGUAGAGAUGUGGAGGAACACCAGUGGCGAAGGCGACUCUCUGGUCUGUAACUGACGCUGAGGAGCGAAAGCGUGGGGAGCGAACAGGAUUAGAUACCCGCGUAGUCCCUGUCUCUUAUAC
RNAcentral lists this ribosomal RNA (301 nucleotides) under uncultured bacterium. RNAcentral describes it as "partial 16S ribosomal RNA". It matches the Rfam family "Bacterial small subunit ribosomal RNA", at positions 509 to 807 of the family's 1533-position model. The record is from RNAcentral.